Molecule: ribosomal RNA, 497 nt
Filed under: uncultured bacterium
Lineage: Bacteria
Description: partial 16S ribosomal RNA
Rfam family: Bacterial small subunit ribosomal RNA
Source: RNAcentral
GAUGAACGCUGGCGGCGUGCCUAAUACAUGCAAGUCGAGCGAACAGACGAGGAGCUUGCUCCUCUGACGUUAGCGGCGGACGGGUGAGUAACACGUGGAUAACCUACCUAUAAGACUGGGAUAACUUCGGGAAACCGGAGCUAAUACCGGAUAAUAUAUUGAACCGCAUGGUUCAAUAGUGAAAGACGGUUUUGCUGUCACUUAUAGAUGUAUCCGCGCCGCAUUAGCUAGUUGGUAAGGUAACGGCUUACCAAGGCAACGAUGCGUAGCCGACCUGAGAGGGUGAUCGGCCAAACUGGAACUGGGACACGGUCCAGACUCCUACGGGAGGCAGCAUUAGGGAAUCUUCCGCAAUGGGCGAAAGCUUGACGGAGCAACGCCGCGUGAGUGAUGAAGGUCUUCGGAUCGUAAAACUCUGUUAUUAGGGAAGAACAAAUGUGUAAGUAACUAUGCACGUCUUGACGGUACCUAAUCAGAAAGCCACGGCUAACUACGUG